RNAcentral lists this transfer RNA (73 nucleotides) under Microcaldota archaeon. Its description in RNAcentral is "Micrarchaeota archaeon tRNA". It matches the Rfam family "tRNA". Rfam says of the family: Transfer RNA (tRNA) molecules are approximately 80 nucleotides in length. Their secondary structure includes four short double-helical elements and three loops (D, anti-codon, and T loops). Lineage: Archaea; Nanobdellati; Microcaldota. RNAcentral also lists the same sequence under 1 other name. The record is from Rfam by way of RNAcentral.
GCCUCCGUAGCUCAACGGUAGUAGCGAUCGCUUCGUAAGCGAUAGGUUGAGGGUUCAAAUCCCUCCGGGGGCU